This 253-nucleotide ribosomal RNA is filed under the name uncultured bacterium. Its description in RNAcentral is "partial 16S ribosomal RNA". It matches the Rfam family "Bacterial small subunit ribosomal RNA", at positions 524 to 776 of the family's 1533-position model. RNAcentral also lists the same sequence under 1 other name. The record is from RNAcentral.
UACGGAGGGAGCUAGCGUUGUUCGGAUAUACUGGGCGUAAAGCGCACGUAGGCGGCGCCGUAAGUCAGGGGUGAAAUCCCGGAGCUCAACUCCGGAACUGCCCUUGAAACUGCAGUGCUAGAAUCUUGGAGAGGCGAGUGGAAUUCCGAGUGUAGAGGUGAAAUUCGUAGAUAUUCGGAAGAACACCAGUGGCGAAGGCGACUCGCUGGACAAGUAUUGACGCUGAGGUGCGAAAGCGUGGGGAGCAAACAGG